Molecule: transfer RNA, 77 nt
Filed under: Clostridia bacterium
Lineage: Bacteria; Bacillati; Bacillota; Clostridia
Also listed under: 1 other name
Description: tRNA-Arg
Rfam family: tRNA
About the family: Transfer RNA (tRNA) molecules are approximately 80 nucleotides in length. Their secondary structure includes four short double-helical elements and three loops (D, anti-codon, and T loops).
Source: RNAcentral
GCGACUGUAGCUUAGCUGGAUAGAGCACUUGGCUACGAACCAAGAGGUCGGGGAUUCGAAUUCCUCCAGUCGCACCA